This is a long non-coding RNA of Hemiscyllium ocellatum (epaulette shark), 288 nucleotides long. RefSeq lists it as uncharacterized. The record is from RefSeq and is a predicted model, not a curated record. Lineage: Eukaryota; Metazoa; Chordata; Chondrichthyes; Orectolobiformes; Hemiscylliidae. The transcript is spliced from 3 exons.
GUUAACGUUUAGAAGAAUUGGGUGGAAUCUGUCAGAAAAGGCAUAACUGUAAAGUUCUAAGAGGAUUGAAGCAGCCUCAGGGCAUUGAGCACAGACUGAAUUACUCAGUGACGCUUAGAUCAGGUCAGAUCAAAUUCUCAAGCAAACAGUUGGCUGGGGAUAUUCAGUAGCAACGGUGAGGAGAGAGAGGAACAAUUCACAUUUCAAGGGACCCUUCCUCAAAACGGUCUGUUCUGAAGGAGCUUUCCCGCAGAAAUCAUUGGAUUGAAAGCUUCUGGCAACAAAAUG